UACGAAGGGGGCUAGCGUUGCUCGGAAUUACUGGGCGUAAAGCGCACGUAGGCGGAUUGUUAAGUCGGGGGUGAAAUCCUGGAGCUCAACUCCAGAACUGCCUUCGAUACUGGCGAUCUCGAGUUCGGGAGAGGUGAGUGGAACUGCGAGUGUAGAGGUGAAAUUCGUAGAUAUUCGCAAGAACACAAGUGGCGAAGGCGGCUCACUGGCCCGAUACUGACGCUGAGGUGCGAAAGCGUGGGGAGCAAACAGG
Molecule: ribosomal RNA, 253 nt
Filed under: uncultured bacterium
Lineage: Bacteria
Description: partial 16S ribosomal RNA
Rfam family: Bacterial small subunit ribosomal RNA
Source: RNAcentral